This is a long non-coding RNA of Solanum stenotomum, 1744 nucleotides long. RefSeq lists it as uncharacterized. Lineage: Eukaryota; Viridiplantae; Streptophyta; Magnoliopsida; Solanales; Solanaceae. The transcript has 3 exons. The record is from RefSeq and is a predicted model, not a curated record.
CAAAUUAAGAGAAACUGAACGAAACUGAACUUAGGUUUUGAUUGGAUUGAUUUUUUUCAAAACUUAAAAUCUGAAUCCAAAUAAUACAAAACCAAAUUAGAAAAAGUAAUGCACACCCUACUAGCUGUCACCGUAAAGGCAGCUGAGAAAUAAAAAUUGAAGAAUUGAAGAUGCAUCGGCGCUCAUUAACCUGUAUUUAUUGCUCCUGCUGGUGUUCAUAACCUUUAAAAUUAUUGCUCAACCGGGAAUCCAGAGGCUCGUGUUUAAGCUAAAGGAAUUGGUUAGACGGAUAGAUGGUAAUGUUCUAAUGGUUUCUACUUUAUUCGUUGUCUUUAUCUACUGCCUAAUACUAGAGAAUUUGGAAUUAUGGUGUAAAAAAUUAUUGAUUUUCUUGACACAUGAAACAAUGUACUCCCUCUGUUUCAAUCUAUUUGUUUCAUUUUCCUUUUUAGUCUGUUUAAAAAAGAGUGCAUGUUUCCUAAUUUGGCAUCUCUUUUUAACUCCAAAUCCCACAUGACAUGUUUAAGACCACACAAUUAAAGUGCAUUUUGACACAUUAUGCAAAUCUUUAAUUCAAGACCAGAAGAAUCAGCAAUCUUCUUUACUUUCUUAAACUCCGUGUCCAGUCAAACUAAAACAAACAAUUGAAACAAAGGGGGUAAUAGUUUUAAAGGUUAAGCAAAUUUUGGUUUCACAUAUUAUGUCUUUUAUUUUGUGAAUAAGUUUAACUUUCUAUGACCUUAUGAAAGGGUAUGUAUACCUCGAUGAGUUGACAACAUUGUGAGAGUGUUUUACAGUUGGAACCAGUAUUUAUUUCAUUUAGUUUUAUUGGCCUGCUAAAAUUGCUCUGUAUUUAUUUGGCUGGAAAGAGAUACACAUGUAUUUCUGUCUGUUAUAAUUUGUUGAUGGAGGUGGUUGAAAGAUUGUCUUCUGAUAAUUGGAACUUGGAUCACCAUAAAAAUUUGGACAUGGUAAAGAGAUGCUGGAAAAAAGAAAAAAAGACCCUGGAAGAUCAGUUACUGCAAAAGGUCAAAAGAAACUGAUAAAAUGGUGAAUUUCAUCAUGUAUAAGAAAACACUUAUUUUCUUUCAAAUUGCUAGAGGUUAACAAUGGUUGAACUGUGGUUUCAGAGCUAAGAAAGUACGAGCAAUCGAAAGUAGGGGACUAAGAAAUGACAGCACACAAUUUAUUGUCCGUCCUUCCUGUCUAUGUAUUAUAUUCUUCCUGAAAAAUUCGGUGACAUGUUAUAAUUUUGAUAUUUGGUUCCUCCCCAUUUUCUAGAACCUGUGUCAACACACAUGGAAGAGUGGGCUUGAGUUUCUCCAGUCCGCUGGUUCAAUUGUCUCUCGAUACUUGAGAUCCCUUUCCAUCUUGUUACCCGAUUGUGGGAUACAUAUCUUGCAGUAGGUGAUGCACUGCCAGAUUUUCCUGUGUAUAUAGCUGCAAGCUUUCUUCUCACAUGGUCAGAUAAGCUGCUGAAGCUUGACUUCCAAGAGAUGGUUAUGUUCCUUCAACACCUUCAACAAUUAGUGCAAUAGUAAGUUGGUCAAACAUUCACAAUGUAGUAUCCAAAUUCAAAGCUUAUCAAACUUAUACAUAAUAAGAAGGCAAUCGAUUAUUAUUUUAUUACAUAGAUAUUGAAUGCACUACAUAAAAUCUACGUGUAAAUCACACUCCGUCGCUAUUCUUUAAGAAUUGACAAUUUAUUCUAUGCUACAUCAUCAAGACUACUCCAAAAGCAAGU